This 82-nucleotide non-coding RNA is filed under the name Lotharella globosa. Lineage: Eukaryota; Cercozoa; Chlorarachniophyceae. The record is from RNAcentral.
GUUCGGGAUCCAUGCUCUUAUCGACUGCGUAGCCCAAGUUUGCGAUGUAACGCUGGGUUCCGAAACUGUCAAUCAUCUUCUG